Molecule: ribosomal RNA, 315 nt
Filed under: uncultured eukaryote
Lineage: Eukaryota
Description: partial 18S ribosomal RNA
Rfam family: Eukaryotic small subunit ribosomal RNA
Source: RNAcentral
CCCUUAGACGUUCUGGGCCGCACGCGCGCUACACUGACCAGUGCAACAAGCAUCCGUCCUUGGCCGACAGGGCCGGGCAAUCUUUGAACGCUGGUCGUGAUGGGGAUAGACUUUUGCAAUUUUUGGUCUUCAACGAGGAAUUCCUAGUAAACGCAAGUCAUCAACUUGCAUUGAUUACGUCCCUGCCCUUUGUACACACCGCCCGUCGCACCUACCGAUUGAAUGGUCCGGUGAAGCCUCCGGAUUGGCGCGCACCUCGGUGCCGCCGAGAAGUUGGCUAAACCUUACCAUUUAGAGGAAGGUGAAGUCGUAACA